Penaeus monodon (black tiger shrimp) is the source of this 317-nucleotide long non-coding RNA. RefSeq lists it as uncharacterized. The transcript has 3 exons. NCBI's taxonomy places the organism in Eukaryota, Metazoa, Arthropoda, Malacostraca, Decapoda, Penaeidae. The record is from RefSeq and is a predicted model, not a curated record.
AGUCAUCUCUUGCAUUCAUUCCUGCAACAUCUCAGUCAUGGUUUCUCGCGUCGUGUUGGUCGUGCUUGUAGUGGUCGUCCUAGCGGCCGCAGCAGUGGCUCUCCCUGACCCCACGAAACGGCACUUGGGAUUCGGCUUGCACGGAGGAUACGGAGGAUACGGCCUCGGAGGAUUUGGCUACGGAGGCUACGGAGGUUAUGGCUAUGGAUCCCACUAUCCUUAUUACGGAUCCUACUACGGAUAGAUAACGAAGGAUCAAGUAGACGAAGCCCACAGGAUGUAUUUAUCCCUUUCAACACCAUCUAAUAAAGCUUUAA